Molecule: non-coding RNA, 9430 nt
Organism: Vicugna pacos (alpaca)
Lineage: Eukaryota; Metazoa; Chordata; Mammalia; Artiodactyla; Camelidae
Source: RefSeq, a predicted model, not a curated record
UCCCGCCUAGGCGCCGCCGGCCCGACGGCUCCUUCCCGGCCGCUGCCUCUGCCUCCGUCACUGGUUGCCUUAGUUCUUUCCACCUCUUGGCUACUUGGCCUGUCUCUCGGGCUUGUUUUAUUUUUUCCUUCCUCUUUUCUCCCGUCUCUCUCUCCUCUGUGUGUCUCUAUGUCUCCCUGUCUCUGUCUGCGUGGCCGCCCCCCAACCCAAACUCCGAGGGUGUUGUCUCCCCUUUUCUCUGUCUCCGGUUCUCCUUCUCCCUGUGUUGCCCCCACCGCCACCCUAGCCGCCCAGUUUUCCGCGUUAUUCUCUCUCCCGCUUCUCUCCUGCUCUUCUGUCCCCGGCUCUCUCCGUCGUCUCUCCUGGCUCCCUCUGCGCCUCCCCUUCGGACGCUCUGUCUCUCUCUCCAUCCCUCUGACCUCCUAUCUCCUCCACCUCUGUCCACCCCCGCCUCUCCCUCUCUGCCUUCCUGAACCCCACAAUCCCGCCAGCCCCUCCCCACCUCACACUCCACUCCCUUUCACAGAGCACUGUCCAGGCCUUCGACCCAAGGGCCUGGGCAACCCUAGGGUCAGCGGGACAGGUGGCACCACCCCCUCAGAUCCCACGAUCUGUCCCCCAAACUGCAGCCCCAAAAGGGGUUUGACAAGUGGCAGGUACAGAGACCAGAGCUCAGGGGUCAGACAUAUAAAUCAGGGGACUGUGGAGAGUAACUCUUCCAGGCCUGUGCUGAGCCCGGAAAACACCCAGAGUGAGGCGCUGGUCCUGGGGCGUGAUGGCCCCAGGAGGCCCACAGUUGCCUCCUCUGGAGAUCCAGCCAUCCUCCACCCAUCUUAUUCAGGACUCUGGAAGGACCUAAAAUCCUCCCAGAUUUAGUGGAGGAUGAGGAAGAUCAGCCGCAGGCCAGCUGGCACUGGGCCAGCUUCUCCUUUCAACUGAGAGGAGCAGGUAGGCACCAGGGCCGAGGGAGGCAGCGACCAGAACAGGAACACAGAGCCUGGGUGACAGCAUCCAUGGGUCUGGCCACGGCCGGGCACCCUGCCCAGCCCUUCACGUGUCCUGACUCCCUUUCUCCUCACAGCUGCCCUCUGAGGCUGAUACGACUACUAUCCCACCUUACAGAUUCAGAGCCUGAGGUCCCAGAGGUGAAGGGACUAACCCGAGAUGGAUGCGGAGCUCACAAGUCUGUUGGCUCCGAACAUCACCCCAACUCUCCCCGGCCCCACGGCCUCUUAGAAUAGGGGGCUCACGUGGCAGGUGCCCAUGGUCCUGGCUCUGACAGUGGCCUGGCCUCCCUCACCUGCCCCCACCUGGCCAGGAAGGAAGGCCAGGGGGUUUCUCUGUGCCCCACGGGGUAGGCAGGAAAGGCCAGGCCUAUAGCCGUCCCCCACUUCCCUCACCCCAACACCCUCACCUUCCUGCCAUCAGCACUUGCCCAUCACGUGGGCCUUUUUCCAAGCCCUCUGUCGGCUGGGCCACUGCUUUGAUAGCCAGGAGUGUUCAACACAGGAAAUCAGAGGCUCUGCUUCUGACACCCCAUCCCCCACCGCUGGGGCUCAAGGCCACUCAGGGUACAGCUGGAUAGGACUGAUGUCUGCACCUGCACCUCCAGGUGGAGAGGACUCGUGUUUUGCCAUCAGCGUGAGCGGACUGGGGUGCCCUGCAGGGGUGCAGGAGGCUGCCUCAGUGGACCUCACUCAACCUCUCCCCAGAGCCCUCCCCCAUCACCCAGCUGUCAUCUCCCUCCCCCGUCUUAUCUCGAACCUUCCCCACCGUCUCUGGUUUUGUCUGUCUUCUUGCUCCUCCCGGUUUCUCUCUCUUUGUCUUUCUCUUUCCCAGUCUCUCCCCACACCCUUUCACACUCUGUCUCUUUGUGUGUGUAUCUCUUUUUCUCUCCAUGUCUCUGUCUCUCUGCCUCCCUAUCUCGCACCCCCCUCUCCCCCUCUGGCCCAUCCCAGCUUCCUUCCUGUCUCCAGGCUCAUCUUGCCACAUCCUGCAGCUCCCCCCACUGAGCCUUGAGGAUAAUGCUCUGUGUGGUCGCAGCUCAGCCUGGCACACAGGGGAUGGUUCCAGUUCUGGCCACUUUGGACACAAACUACCUGCCCAGCUGAGCACUGGGACUCAGGAGCUGCGGGGAGCUGCGGGUAUGCAGCGUCAGGUGAGCCACGAAGGCACAGCCACGGUCCACGUGUCUUCGCAUAAGCUGGAGACGGAAGUGCUGUGUGGCCUAGGGCAAGGCACUUGCCCUCUCUGAGCCUCAGUUUUCUUGUCUGUACAACAAGGACAAUCAUAUAGCACACCAGCCCCAGGAGGUUAUAAGAUGUGAAGAACGUAAGGUGCCAGAAAGCACAGUGCUGGGCACAUGGCAGGCAUUAGGCAAAUGCCAGCUUUUCCCCUUACACUGAGCGAUGGCCCAUCAGGGCCCCAAGGCAGUGAGCAGAGCCAGUGUCCACCAAGGGCAAACGACUGUGCCCAUCACUGCUCCAUGCAAUCUCAUGCGAUUCUCACAACCAACUGACAAGGCAGAGGUCACUGAACCCAUUUCACAGAUGGAGACACUGAGGGGGGCAUUAGCAAGGUGAGGAUUUGAACACAGAUCUGUCUCCAGAUCCUACGCUUCCUCCCCUCUGCCCAUCAUUUGGGAGCUCUCGCAGCCCAGGAUGGGUCAGGGUGGCUGCCACGGCCCUACUGAGGUGCUGAUUACUGUGGGCUGAGAGAAUGAAGAAAGGAACGAAUGAACGGAAGAACCCACAUCUCCCUGGCCUUGCUAAGAGGCAGAGGGGUUUCCUCCCAGAAGGGGAGAUGGAUGGUACCAAGGAGGGCAAGUUAGGCGGCAUCAGAAUUAACUCACUUUGAAUUAACUAACCCAGAUUAACCAACCCUGGAGUGACUGCCAGCUAAUCUGAUUCACUCUGUGAUUCAGGCCCUUUUCAGUUUUUGCUCAAGACCUCUGAUUCUAUCAAGGAGAAGCUCUCUCUCUGGGGCUAAUGUGUCUUCAGUGCCUUGCUAACAUUUGUCAUUGUCCAUUUUUAAUAGAGAGGAGGUCUCAGGCGCAGCAUUCUAGAAUUUACUCAGCUCUGUUUUCUUUAUAAUAUUUACAGUUAUUUUCUGCUUUUGCCAAGUGAUACUGGCUUUCCAAAUACAAUAAUGAUGUAAAGCUUGUUUGGUAAAUGCAUUUAUCGAGGUUUUUAAAAUGUGAGUUAAUUUAAAGACAAAUAUGGAGUAGGUCAUAACCCAAGUGGCACAAAACACUUGAAAUUUGGGAAAUGGUAAUCUGAUCCAGUGCCUUUGGAGCUGGGGACACAGUGGCCCAGACGGGGCAGGUCCUUGCCUGGACGCCCCAGGGUGGGCGAACCGGCCUCUCACCGCCACCUGGGCGGGGGCUUCCCCACCCUGCCCCGUCCCUGCCCGGCUCUCGGGCUGCCCAGGGCAGAUCCGUGAGGACGAGGAGGAGGAGGAAAUGUUUUCCUUCUUCAAUUGGAAAGAAUAACAGUGAGGCCAGGGCUGCACAGGGAGGAGGGGGGCCCCUGGCCUCCUGUCCCUUGGGCCUGGCCUCAGUGAAGGCUUUCCUUGCAGGAAGUGCUCGUGACACACUGCCUGCUCCUGCAACGCCUUGAUGACAGGAACAGAGUACUCGGGACAGCUCGGUACCCCAGCGUGGGCCCUGACAGUGCCAGGAGCCACAGCCACAGUUCCUCCGGGGCUCUGCCUGUCUCAUGUCCUCCUGGGAGCAACCCUGAGAGGUGGGUUUUAUCAGCCCCAUUUUACAGACAGGGACACUGAGGGUCAGGGAGGUGUCACCACUUGCCCACAGCUGCACAGCUCACAGGCCUCCAAACCCUGCUCUGGGCCGUGGCAUCCCUCUGCCUCUUGCCUUGGAGCUGAGAGACCUGAGUUCCAGGCCCAGGUCGGCCCCUACCCACCUGGGUGACCAUGGUGGCCCCACCUCUCUUUGAGCCUCAGCUUCCUUAUCUGGAAAAGGGGAGUAUGGUCCCUCUCACCAGGCUGCUGUGAGGAUGGAAAAACAUACACAUGUCACAGGCCCAGUACGUCAGGAAGGAAGGUGUCCACUGACUUUCCAGCUCAGGGUCCUCUCUCCCAGGCUCCUUGAAUCCAUAGUCUGUACCCCUCCUGGGAGAGGCCCCCACACCCGGAUAAUGAUGCCCUCCAUCUUCACGGCGCUGCCACUGAGACGGGGAGUCCAUGCCAGUGCCGUCAAAGGCACAAAGGCACAAGAUCACUUCCUGUCAUUAGCCCUCCACCAGGCCUCCCUCCCUUCUUCUCAGAAACUGGGACACCAAGGCGCAGAGAGGCCUAGAGACCUGCCUGAGGUCACACAGCAGAGGGGUAGCCCGAAGUGACCCCUGCCUCUUCUCUAGUCAGCUUUGUCCUGCCACACUGGGUCUGCUGUCAUUGCCACCACGUCCUACUGGAGUGGCCCUCAACGGGCUGGGUGACCCCUGAGUGGCAGCACCGACAGGAGACACAGCACCCACCAUGCUGCUGUGUUUCAGCUACAGAGAGCUGGUGUUUCCCCACCGCAGACUCUGUGAAGGACCAGGGGGUUUAGCCCGCUUCAGAGUUCUGGAAAGUUCCCUCCGCUUCCCCCACUGGAUGCCCCCCAGGGGCAGGAUGGGCAGGAGGCAGGGGUGGCCUUCUAGGCCUGGUUUCAGGGCUCAGGACAGGGGCCUGUCCUUGCCUGUGACGGCUCCUCCACUCGGUUCUCUCUGUCUUUGUCUCCCCGAGGGGCUGGAGGAAAUGGUUCUCAUUCCUGCGUGUGGGAGACGCCCUCUCCUGACUCUGGGCACAUCCCUGCCCUCUGCGGUGGGGACACAGCGGGCGGCAAGCUGGGGUGGGGACCCGGAGCCCCCUUGCACCCAUCCCGGGCGCCUGGCCUGCCGAGCCCCCGCGUGGCCCCUUUGUGCUCUGUGAGUCGGAUAAUGGGCGGCAUUCUCAGACGUCCAGUCAUGGGUCUGGGCCCGUGAAAGGACCCCAGCAGCUCCACACUGAGGCCUCUGUCCAGCAGCAGUGGUGGGGGUGUGCAGGGCCGCCCCGGGGGACCCCACCCACAUUCCCGGACUGCUGCCAUCUCCAGGGGACAGCUGCUGGGGCAGGCUGGGGGGCAGGUAAUCCCUGAGCAGAUAGUAGGUGGUCCACAAAUGGAGCCGCAGGGACAAGGGAAAGCCCAGAGCUGAGAGGACAGGGAGUGAUGUGGACUGAGCACCUGCUGUGCACCAGCCAUUUCUCAGCCAGCCCUGGUAAAAACCAUUGAAGGUCUGUGCUACUGACCCCAUUUGAUGCAUGAGUAAACUGAGACUCAAAGAGGCAAGGCCAUGGUCCUGGAUUUGAACCCAGGCCUGUCUGACCAUGCUCAUUCCAUUGGACACUGAAUGAGCACCUACUGUAUGCUCUGGGACACAGCAGUCUCAAUGCCCUGAGGAUAUACAGAGGAGCAUUCUGCCAACCAGGCCCGUGGGAGCAAACAAGGCAGGCUUCCUGGGGAAAGGGGCAGCUGAGCCAGGAGCCCCCACAGGAUUACCGAGUCUCCAACACAAUCUUUCACACGGCAGGACUAUGAGGUCCAUUGACAGAGGACGAGACCGAGGCUCAGAAAAGGGAAGUGACUUGCUUGGGGCCACCCAGCUGCUCAAGGUGGAGCUGGAAUUUUCAGGCCUGGCUGUUUAAUCUUCUCCAGGAGUGGGGUCCAGCCAAGGCUAUGGAGUUGAGUUGCCAUUCUGUGGUCCUGGGACCUGAGUUCAGAUCCCCACCCUCCGCUUCCCAACUGUGUGACCCAGGGUGAGUCCCUUUGCCUCUCUGGGUCUCAGGUUCCACACCUGUGAAAUGGGUCUAAGAGUCCCCACUCUCCAGGCUGUGGGAAUCAAAUGAGAUAAUUCCUAGAGAGCGUGGAGCCAGCACCUGACUCACGAUAGAUAAUCAAUGACAUUUAUUAUUAAAGCCACUGAUGCGGAGGCGAUGUUGCUGCUGCUACCAUUCCCCCCACCAACUCCAGCUUCUGGAAAGUUAUGCCCGUGCCCUGCCCUAGCUAGAUGGAUCCCCGAACUGCCUGGGUUUUUGUCAGGUGCCCACAGGGGCAGCUCUUCUCCCUGUCCCAUCCUCCUCCCUCUGCAGCCAGGGCCUCAUCUCAGGACCCUUUUGCCCCCUCUAGACUACAUCAUCCUUUGGGCUUCAGUUUUCUCUUCUGGAAAAUGGGAUGGUGCAUCUGCCCACGGAGGAGAGUUGGCCAGUGAUGUCCGGUCUCUGCUCAGGGCAGCACUGGGUCUUUUCCUCAGUGGCUCCCUGGAGUCCAGCGCUUAGUAGGUGCUCCCUAGACCUGGCCUGGAACUGAACCAAUUCUGAGAUCCCUCCCACUCCAGCUGAGCCCUUGCUCCAUGAUGAGCGCACACAAGAACUGGAUGAACCUCACGGCUCCAGGACAGGGCAAUGAGAUGCUCCCUCCCAUUCAGUCACACACAAGGUGUAUGCAAGAGUCUGGCGUGGAUGAGCAGAGCCCAGAUCUCACCAGCUGUGUGGCGGACAGGAGUCCCUAAAGAGAACCCAGCAUCUGGAGAAGAUGUGUUUCCUCUCUUGUUUUUUAGGUCAACUUGCAUGCACCCCUCAAGACCCAGCCCAAAUGUCACCUCCUCUGGAAAGUCUUUUCUAGUGAACUCCUAGGCAUCCCUCAAGGCCUAGUCUAAAUGGCUCUUCUUCUGAGAAGACUUCCUUGAGCCCUGAAGCAGUAUUAGGAGCUUCUCCCAUCAAACUGCUUACCACACAGUAUGAGGGCGUUUGUCCUCCCCAGUGGCCUGGGAGGUCUUCCAGCGUGGGACACAGUCACUAUCCAUAAAUGCUGGGAUAGAUGGAUGGCUGUAUCACCACCCCAGGACAUCUGCCGGGCAGACAGGAUGGUCACUCUGCUGCUGGAGACCCCUUCCUGGGCAAUGCCAGACAGACUCUGCCAAAGGGGCCUCUCUGACCCCCGUUUUGUCCACAUGGCCACACUGACCCCCCAGCUUCACAAAACCAGGCCACAGCAGGCCAUCCUGCUCUGUGCACUUCAGCCUGGGAGACCCACUGGCCCUCAGGGUGACCCCUCACACCCAAUUCCCUGGGUAGUUCUGAGGGUCCUGCCCUCUCCUGGGUGAAUAAAAUGCUAGGACAGAGGUCUUCCUUCAUUCAACAACCAUUGACCAAGCACCUGCUAUGUGCCAGGUAUGGGGGACAUUAUGGGAGCCCAACAGGCAUGGUCCCCGUCCUCAGCCCAGCCUCAUAGGGGAGACAGUCUUCCAUCAAGUAACUCACAUAAUUACAUAACCGCAAAGGCUGCAGGCCCUACGAAAGGCGAUACCAAGGGGUUCUGGAGGGUUUCUCACAGGGAGCUUUAGCCCAUGUUGGGGUCCACAAGGGCUUCCCUGAGGCAGUGACCUGUAAGUGAGAUCUGCAGAAUGCUGCAGGGAGAGCUGUCCUGCAAGGGAACAAGGACAAAGGCUGGAGGGAGCAGCCCGUGGGCCCUGGAGGGGCAGGACACAGGUGAGGGGGCUCUGCCGGGGCUGGAGGGCUGGGCAGCGCUGGGGGAGCCUCUGGCUGCCUUGAGUCCAGGAGGCAGGAGAUGGCUCUCAGAUGGAGCGGGGAAGGAGGAGAAUGACUGAGGGAGGCCCGGGAGGGUGCUUCUGCAGAUGCCCAGGCAGGUGACAGCAGGGGCCUGGAUGGGGGAGGCAGAGGUUGGGGAGGGAGACAGCCAAAGGCGGAGAGCAGGCUGUGCAAUGGGGUGAGGAGAGGGAGCUCCGAGGCCACGAGCUUCACCAACCAGGGGUUCCUCUUUCGGAGUCAGAGAGCAGCAGGGGACCAGCACAUUGGUGGGGGCUCUCAGAGGUGUUAAGUUCAAAGGGCCUCUCUUGGCCACAGGGGCCUCCCCGGUCACUGGGUGCAGAGUCUGCCCUGUCUGCACGCUGGCAGGCAGCCUUCCCUGAUCUCCCAGGCUGGAAGGGGGCUCCCAGGACCCCAGGCUGCCACCAUCAGCGCAACUACAUUUGGUGACGAUGUGUCUUUGCUCUGGCUUCCCUACCAGCCAGGGUGCAUCUCAGGAGCUGCAUCUUGUUGUGGGGGUACCUGCGUCCCUCAAAUCACCAGGCAGAAGGUUGGACACAAAGCAGCUCAUGAGGGUGGGAAGGAAGGCGUGGCAGAGUUAAGUGACCAAAGUCGCGGACUGAAUGCGUGGCAUGGCCUGACGCAGCCCAGUCCUCCACCGCGCUGCACUCAAAGAACCCCGGAGGCGCCCGGACACCCCAUCCCCUCCUCCUACCCAUCCAGAGGCCACCCCCAAUCACUUCUCGUAGGUCUAAGACAACUUCAUCGGUCCGAGCCUCACCCCCUCCUGCCUCUCCCGGAAUCACUUCUCCUUGAAACAGCCUGAGGGACAUUUUCAAAUUGCAAAGCUGUUCAUGCUGUUUUUCUACAACUUGAAACCCUGCAAACAAUCUUUGGGAAAAGUCUUGUCCCUUCUGCCUCGUCCACAGCCUCUGAGACCCCACACCCUCCCUGCACAGGGCUGUGGGCACCCUAGUUGGGGCAUUCUUUGGUUAAUGUCUGCAGACACCCGAGGGCAGGUCCCCAUCUGCCUGUCCACUGCUGCUGCCCCAGGGCAAGGCCCCCAGGAGGUGCUCUUAUCCCUAAGUGAGCACUGAACGAGCCCUCAGGCUGGCGUGGUGUCCAACAGAACACAGACUUAUGGUGGGUGCACGGCAGAGAGGCUGAACGGCUGCCCGGGGAGGGAGCCCCCAGUGCCUGCCCAGCGUCCAGGGGAAGCUAUUUCCAGCUCCGGGAAACAGGAAGUGAGUCACGGCCGAGAAGGCCGGCCGGACGCUCCGCACCUCGGGUGCAAUUGAUGAGCGCCCGGACGGAAGGGCCGGCCGCACCUCGGGAAGCAGGAAGGAGGCCUGGAGGAAGAGGAUAGGAGGAGAGACCCUCUCCCCAGCAAAACAGGCGGCCCUGAGGGGCCCCAGCGGAAGCAGAUGAGGUCAGCACAGAUGCGGCCACCAGCCCAUUGUCCCACCACACCUGGGGUAGGCCAGUGGAGCAGGAGCGGCCACAUACCAAAACCCCCCAACCCAACCGACAGCCAUCCUGGGCCUGCCCACGGCCUGCACUUAUCUCGUUUAGUGCGCCUCCCCCGGCCCCGCGAGCACAGGGUCUUACGGGCCCCGCUUUACGGAAGGCCAAAGAGAGGCAGAGACUUGCCAAGGCCACAUAAACAGACAGGAUGGCGUGGGACUUGAACCCAGCUCUGUGUGACCAUGGAGAUCUCUCAGACGGUACAGGAGACUCAGGGGACACCAGCACUGGCCCGGAGGCAGCCACCAAGAAUGUCUAGGGCAGGUGUCUGAGGCCCUGGCUGGAUUUCAGUCCCACUUCAGUCUCUACCUGAAAACAGGAU